Molecule: long non-coding RNA, 328 nt
Organism: Jaculus jaculus (lesser Egyptian jerboa)
Lineage: Eukaryota; Metazoa; Chordata; Mammalia; Rodentia; Dipodidae
Exons: 3
Source: RefSeq, a predicted model, not a curated record
AACAGGAAACCGCCCUGGCUGAGCGCAUCACACACCAGCCCUGAGCUGGCUCCUUUACCUCAGCAGUUCCCUCCCUAGAGGACAGCACUGACAGCUCUCCCUUCACAUCCAAGGACACCGGGGCUUUAAGAGACAGAGCCACAUCCUCAAGGCCACACACAGCAAAUGACAAGACUGACAACUGGAGGGAAGCAGUUCCUCAGUCACUCAGCUCCCACGGGGCAAAGCGGGGAUUCAAACUGAGACUCAAGACUUCCCUAUCAAGAUGUGAUUGGAAGAGGGUCCCACAGGAGCGAUUUUUGAAGUCAGACCAGUGAAAACAGCUGCU